This 442-nucleotide ribosomal RNA is filed under the name uncultured bacterium. RNAcentral describes it as "bacterial SSU rRNA". It matches the Rfam family "Bacterial small subunit ribosomal RNA", at positions 339 to 797 of the family's 1533-position model. The record is from RNAcentral.
UUACGGGAGGCAGCAGUGAGGAAUAUUGCACAAUGGGCGCAAGCCUGAUGCAGCAACGCCGCGUGCGGGACGAAGGCCUUCGGGUCGUAAACCGCUUUUCUGAGGGACGAGACAGGACGGUACCUCAGGAAUAAGUCUCGGCUAACUACGUGCCAGCAGCCGCGGUAAAACGUAGGAGGCGAGCGUUAUCCGGAUUUACUGGGCGUAAAGCGCGCGCAGGCGGCUUCGUGAGUCGGACGUGAAAGCUCCUGGCUUAACUGGGAGAGGUCGUUCGAUACUGCGAGGCUUGAGGUUGGGAGAGGGGUGCGGAAUUCCCGGUGUAGUGGUGGAAUGCGUAGAUAUCGGGAGGAACACCAGUGGCGAAGGCGGCACCCUGGCCCACACCUGACGCUGAGGUGCGAAAGCGUGGGUAGCAAACAGGAUUAGAUACCCUAGUAGUCCA